AUGGGCGCAGCUGUACCAGCGACGCCGCGUGAGGGAUGAAGGCCUUCAGGUUGUAAACCUCUUUCAGUAGGGAAGAAGCGAAGUGACGGUACCUAAAGAAGAAGCACCGGCUAACUAUGUGCCAGCAGCCGCGGUAAUACAUAGGGUGCAAGCGUUGUCCGGAAUUAUUGGGCGUAAAGAGCUCGUAGGUUGUUUGACACGUCGAUUGUGAAAAUCUGAGGCUCAACCUCAGACCUGCAGUCGAUACGGUCAAACUAGAGUGUGGUACGGGAGACUGGAAUUCCUGAUGUAGCGGUGGAAUGCGCAGAUAUCAGGAGGAACACCAAUGGCGAAGGCAGGUCUCUGGGCCAUAACUGACACUGAGGAGCGAAUGCGCGGGGAGCGAACAGGAUUAGAUACCCUGGUAGUCCGCGCCGUACACGGUGGGCACUAACUGUGGGUACCUUC
RNAcentral lists this ribosomal RNA (447 nucleotides) under uncultured archaeon. Its description in RNAcentral is "bacterial SSU rRNA". It matches the Rfam family "Bacterial small subunit ribosomal RNA", at positions 371 to 833 of the family's 1533-position model. The record is from RNAcentral.